GGAAAUAUUGUCUCUUAAGAAAAAUCCUUCUUCAGACCUUUUUCUAUCCUGGUAUCAGAGCUGCUAUGGCCAACGCCUCUCUUAAUGUCUCACCGCCAAUCACCGCUGUUUUCACCACUCCUCCAUUAAAUCAACUAUUAAACCAACUUCCCUCCAUCAAACUUGAUCAGACGAAUUACCUUCUAUGGAAGACAAUGGCACUCCCAAUUUUGAAAAGUUAUAAGUUAGAGGGACAUCUAAAGGGUGAAACACCCUGCCCCCGAAAUUUCUCUCUUCAGCCACUGGUGAGUCUACAGAAACAGUCAGGUAAUCAGUGAAGAUACGACAGCUUAUUCAUCCACCUUAAUGGAUUCAAAAAUCGUGAACCCAAAGUAUGAACAAUGGGUCACCUCCGAUCUACUUUUACUUGGAUGGAUUUAUAAUUCCAUGGUACCGGAUGUAGCACUUCAACUCAUUGGAUUUAAUACAGCAAAGGAUCUUUGGGAGGCCAUUCAAAUUUUGUUUGGAAUUCAAUCAAGGGCAAAAGAAGAUUUUCUUCGUCAAACCUUCCAAACUACUCAGAAAGGUAAUUAUAAAAUGAAAGAUUACUUGAGAAUUAUGAAAACUAACGCAGAUAAUCUCGGCCAGGCCGAGAGCCCUAUUCCUCUUCGCUGUUUAAUUACACAGGUGUUAUUAGGGCUUGAUGAAGUUUACAACCCUGUUACUGCGGUUAUUCAAGGUAAACCCGACAUAUCUUUGCUAGAUAUGCAAUCUGAGUUAUUGAUCUUUGAAAAGCGUCUUGAACAUCAAAAGUCUCAAAGAAAUCCGGGCAAUGUUAUCUCAAAUCCCUUUCUCAUGCUUAUCAGAUUGGUGGAAACCAUUCUAAUCAAAAUGGACAGUGAAACAAUUCUAAUGGCCGCGGACGUGGUCGAGGAAGAGGUAACAAACCUACAUGUCAGGGAUGUGGAAAAUAUGGCCACUUAGCUUUGAUUUGUUGUGAUAGAUACAAUAAAGAAGUCGUUGGAAAUGUAAAUCAGAAUAAAGGAUUUAAUCCAAAUCAGAAUGGAAAACAAAUUCCUGCUGCUGCCUUUAUUACCACCCAGAAAUCAUCUUCAUUAGCCACACCUGAAACUGUAGUUGAUACAAAUUGGUAUGUCGAUAGUGGUGCUACAAAUCAUGUUACAUCUGAUCAUUCAAAUCUGUGGAAUAUUACCAAUUAAUCAGGCCAAGGAUACGGGUCGAGUACUGCUGAAAGGAACACUUUGUGAUGGCUUAUAUUACCUUGAAGGUGUGGCUGUGAAGUCGGUUGGUGAGUUGGAGCAUAGUGAUAAUAGUAAGAAACAGUUUCAGCACAUAAAUAAUGCAUCAAUAUUAGUGUUGUCUGAAAAAGUCAGUAGUAGUAUUGGUGCUUCCAAAACUGUUAGGCAUAGACGUCUUGGUCACCCAUCUAUGAAGAUUUUAAAUUCCUUACUUCAAGAUUGUAAUAAGCUUGUUAAUGAUAAUGAAGAGCCAAAAUUUUGUGAA
Molecule: RNA transcript, 1503 nt
Organism: Cucumis melo (muskmelon)
Lineage: Eukaryota; Viridiplantae; Streptophyta; Magnoliopsida; Cucurbitales; Cucurbitaceae
Exons: 2
Source: RefSeq, a predicted model, not a curated record